This is a long non-coding RNA of Pygocentrus nattereri (red-bellied piranha), 213 nucleotides long. RefSeq lists it as uncharacterized. NCBI's taxonomy places the organism in Eukaryota, Metazoa, Chordata, Actinopteri, Characiformes, Serrasalmidae. The transcript is spliced from 3 exons. The record is from RefSeq and is a predicted model, not a curated record.
AAACAAUCUCUGCUGCAUUCCUGGGAGGCCUAUGGAGAAUGUGACUGGUGAUCAGGAAUCUGAUGAGGAACCAUCCACCUCCAAAGCUCAGCUUGGAACAAUGGCUGUUAAAGAUUUAUACAAGGUUCACCUAAAAAAAACAAAUUGAGAAGUGUGAUCUUCAAAAGGAACACCAUAAAACUGCAAAUAAAACAGACAAGACUGGAAAUUGAG